UACGUAGGGGGCAAGCGUUGUCCGGAGUUACUGGGCGUAAAGCGCACGCAGGCGGUCUGCUAAGUUUGGAGUGACAGUUGGGGGCUCAACUCCCAAAGUGCUUUGAAAACUGACAGACUUGAGGGCUUCAGAGGGACACGGAAUUCCGGGUGGAGUGGUGAAAUGCGUAGAGAUCCGGAGGAACACCGAAGGCGAAGGCAGUGUCCUGGACCGGCAUUGACGCUGAGGCGCGAAAGCCAGGGGAGCAAACGGG
RNAcentral lists this ribosomal RNA (253 nucleotides) under uncultured prokaryote. RNAcentral describes it as "partial 16S ribosomal RNA". It matches the Rfam family "Bacterial small subunit ribosomal RNA", at positions 524 to 776 of the family's 1533-position model. The record is from RNAcentral.